GUGCCAGCCGCCGCGUAAUACGGAGGAUGCAAGCGUUAUCCGGAAUUAUUGGGCGUAAAGGUCCGCAGCGGCUAGAUAAGUCUGCUUUCAAAGAGUGGGGCUCAACCCCAUAGGGUNGUGGAAACUGUUUAGCUAGAGUAUGGUAGGGGCAGAGGGAAUUCCCAGUGUAGCGGUGAAAUGCGUAGAUAUUGGGAAGAACACCAGUGGCGAAGGGCUCUGCUGGACCGAGACUGACGCUGAGGGACGAAAGCUAGGGGAGCGAAAGGGAUUAGAUACCCCUGUAGUCCUAGCUGUAAACGAUGGACACUAGGUGUUGCGCGUAUCGACCCGUGCAGUGCCGUAGCUAACGCGUUAAGUGUCCCGCCUGGGGAGUACGCACGCAAGU
Molecule: ribosomal RNA, 385 nt
Filed under: uncultured bacterium
Lineage: Bacteria
Description: bacterial SSU rRNA
Rfam family: Bacterial small subunit ribosomal RNA
Source: RNAcentral